RNAcentral lists this long non-coding RNA (730 nucleotides) under Marmota monax (woodchuck). Lineage: Eukaryota; Metazoa; Chordata; Mammalia; Rodentia; Sciuridae. The record is from RNAcentral.
GUCUUGUUGAACUAUAAAUUACAUACCAUUAAAUUCAUGUUCAUUGUAAAUUACAGCUAACUGAUUUUUGGUAAAUUCCCAGAGUUGUGCAUCCAUCACCCAAAUCGAAGUUUGGAAGAUCUCCAUUACCCCUAAAGCACUUUCCUCAUGCCUGUUUCCAUUUCCAGCCCUAGGCAGUCACUGAUUGGUUUUCUACGUUUAUAAUUUUUUUCCUACAUUUCAUGUAAAUGGAACUAUACAAUGCACAUUUUGUGUGUCUUCCUUCGUUUGCAUAAUGUGUUUGAGUUUUAUCCUUUUGUAGCAGGUAUUGAUGCUUUUAAAAAUUAUUAGUGCAUUUUAACUACACAGAAUAAUGGAGUUCAUUGUGGCCUGCAUCGAUUGUUAAUGCAUUUUUAUUGCUGAAUAUUGUUCUGUUUUGUAAAAAAGAUGAAUUUAUUUAUCUAGAUGCCAGCUCAUGAACCUAUGCUCUGUCCCACUUAUUACCAUUAUGAGUUAUGAACAUUUGUGUACAGGUCUUUGUGUGAAUGUAGGUUUUUAUUUCUUUUGGGUCUAUUCCUAAGGGUGUCACUGCAUGGUCAUAUGAUAAUUUGUUUAGCUUUAAAGAAACUGUAAACUGUUUUCCAGUGUUUGUAUUGCUUUACAUCCCUCCAGUAAUGUAUGAAGUUCUAGUGUCUCUCCAUCCCUGCCAACAUCAGUGUUUUCAUGAUUACAGUCCUUCUAAUGGGUGAAG